UUGUCCUCUCUCCAGCUCGACUCAACUCCCUGCCUUUCCCCGCGGCCGGGAGCAGGCUGGAGCAGCCGUAACRCGAGGCUGCCGGCUCUGCGCAGUGUCUGCGGAGCGAGCUGGACAGAAGGUGGCAAGCGGCUGUAGUCCAACCGCUCGUCCGAGUGAAGAGCAAUUCCUGCCGAGAGUCUGGGCUUCAAGAUCAGUCUCCUUCAGCUUACGGUCACUUCGUGGAGGUAUGUUUAAUGACAAGCACCCCGCGGUCCCCGGCGGAGCGGGGAGCCCUGCUGCUUCCCUCCGUCCGUCCUGCCACCCAGCCCUUCUGCGUACCCAAAGGAAGCGUCACGGCGGUGCCUGCCGCCGAACAACCCCRGGAAAAGGCUGGGAAACUCUUGUGUGUAGGACUUCGAAAACCAGGCUACAAACGGGGCUGGAGGCGCCGCUGAGCUGCCGGGGAAGCGCUAAUUGCCCACGUGCUGGAGACC
Molecule: long non-coding RNA, 476 nt
Filed under: Dromaius novaehollandiae (emu)
Lineage: Eukaryota; Metazoa; Chordata; Aves; Casuariiformes; Dromaiidae
Description: lncRNA (ENSDNVG00000000284.1)
Source: RNAcentral